CGCCCACUAGCUAGCUUAGACCCUAUAGUCCAAUAGCAUUCCAGAAAUAACCCCAAAAAUAGUUCAACCUAAUUAAACAAAACAUUUUUCCUCCUUAGUACGGGCGACGGAAAAGGAAGCCAUAAGAGCAAUAAAAGAAGUACCGCAAGGGAAAGCUGAAAAAGAAAUGAAAUAACCCAGUAAAGCCUAAAGAAGCAGAGAUUAAACCUCGUACCUUUUGCAUCAUGAACUAGCCAGAAACCGUCAAGCAAAACGCACUUUAGUUUGACUUCCCGAAACUACGCGAGCUACUCCAAGACAGCCUGUCAGCAGGGCAAACCCGUCUCUGUGGCAAAAGAGUGGGAAGAUCUUCGAGUAGAGGUGACAGACCUAUCGAGCCUAGUUAUAGCUGGUUGCCUAAGAAAUGAAUAGGAGUUCAGCCUCUCGGCUUCUUUCCUCCAACCUCUAGCAUCUUUCCCCUUUCCCCUUGCUAACCACUCUUUUUCCCACCACGCCUAAAAGAAACCUAGAGAGUUAUUCAGAGGGGGUACAGCCCCUCUGAAAUAAGAUACAACUUUUAUAAGAAGGUUAAAGACUCACCCCAACCCAAGGUAUAAUGUUCGAGUGGGCCCGAAAGCAGCCACCUCCCAGAAAGCGUUAAAGCUCAAACAUCCCCGCCUCCACCCUUAAUUCUAACAAAAUAACCUUAAACCUCUGUGCAUAUUAGGCCCUUUCAUGCACCCAUGAAAGUGACCAUGCUAGUAUGAGUAACAGGAAAGGCUACACGCCUUUCUCCCCGCACAAGUGUAUAUCGGAUCGAACAAAGCCCCGAAACUCAACGGAUCCAAAAGAAGAGGUUAAUGAAUACCACGAGAAGAAGCCAGAAAACCAUUCAAUAAAAACCCGUUAACCCCACACUGGUGUGCAUUCUGGGAAAGACUAAAAGAAAGAGAAGGAACUCGGCAAACGCAUGAAGCCUCGCCUGUUUACCAAAAACACCGCCUCUUGCAGUUAACGAAUAAGAGGUCCCGCCUGCCCAGUGACUGUGGGUUCAACGGCCGCGGUACUUUGACCGUGCGAAGGUAGCGUAAUCACUUGUCUUUUAAAUGAGGACCUGUAUGAAUGGCAUAACGAGGGCUUUACUGUCUCCUUUUUCUAGUCUAUGAAAUUGAUCUCCCCGUGCAGAAGCGGGGAUAAAGACAUAAGACGAGAAGACCCUAUGGAGCUUUAGACGCUAGGACAGGCACGUGUUGAACACUCUUGGAUAAAAGACUAAGCGACGUGACACACUGUUCACAUGUCUUUGGUUGGGGCGACCCUGGGGAACAAAAAAACCCCCAUGAAGACAGGGAACACAUCCUCCUACAAGCAAUGAGCCACCGCUCUAACUCACAGAAUUUUUGACUUAUAGGAUCCGGCAUAGCCGAUCAACGGACCGAGUUACCCUAGGGAUAACAGCGCAAUCCUCUUUCAGAGCCCAUAUCGACAAGAGGGUUUACGACCUCGAUGUUGGAUCAGGACAUCCUAAUGGUGCAGCCGCUAUUAAGGGUUCGUUUGUUCAACGAUUAAAGUCCUACGUGAUCUGAGUUCAGACCGGAGUAAUCCAGGUCAGUUUCUAUCUAUGAAGUGUUCUUUUCUAGUACGAAAGGACCGAAAAGGAGAGGCCCCUGCUCAAAGUACGCCUCCACCCCACCUACUGAAGCCAGCUAAAGUAGGUAAGGGAGAACACCCCUCCCACUAAAAAAAAUAGUCU
RNAcentral lists this ribosomal RNA (1732 nucleotides) under Gerres erythrourus. Its description in RNAcentral is "16S ribosomal RNA". It matches the Rfam family "Bacterial large subunit ribosomal RNA". Lineage: Eukaryota; Metazoa; Chordata; Actinopteri; Gerreiformes; Gerreidae. The record is from RNAcentral.